This 110-nucleotide non-coding RNA is filed under the name Rhodococcus sp. (in: high G+C Gram-positive bacteria). RNAcentral's name for it is "Rhodococcus sp. SAM-IV sequence". It matches the Rfam family "SAM (S-adenosyl methionine) riboswitch aptamer". Rfam says of the family: SAM-IV is a mRNA element that regulates gene expression via direct sensing of S-adenosylmethionine (SAM or AdoMet). RNAcentral also lists the same sequence under 1 other name. The record is from RNAcentral. Lineage: Bacteria; Bacillati; Actinomycetota; Actinomycetes; Mycobacteriales; Nocardiaceae.
CUUCACGAGUGCCGUCGCCAAGCCCCGACUGGACGGCCGCCAACCCCACGCUCGCGGGUGGCUCGGGUGACGAAGUGGCUGGCACCACCCGGUGUCGGCACGAGCGCCCC